This 323-nucleotide unclassified non-coding RNA is filed under the name rhizosphere metagenome. RNAcentral's name for it is "partial ribosomal RNA internal transcribed spacer region". The record is from RNAcentral.
GUAGGUGAACCUGCGGAAGGAUCAUUAACACGUAUCCACGUAUCAAAAACCCCCUGUGCAAACCCUCUUUGUGAAGGCUGAUUGGAGUUGUGCUCACUCGAUCUUAAUGAUGGGAGUUCCGUUCUCGGGACUCGGGAUCUAUGAGUGGGCAUCGCGUUCGACAACCAGCCGCUAUUUUCCCAUCGUUAGCCCCUUCUAUUAUUUAACCCCUUUGUACUUUUUUGUACUGAACCAAUUCUUCGAGUUUCGGCCUUCUCGGGCUGAGAUACGAAAGAUAUUACGAAACUAAAGAACAACUCUUAGCAACGGAUAUCUUGGUUCCC